Molecule: non-coding RNA, 80 nt
Organism: Hysterangium stoloniferum
Lineage: Eukaryota; Fungi; Basidiomycota; Agaricomycetes; Hysterangiales; Hysterangiaceae
Source: the annotation of a GenBank genome assembly
AUCGCGGUAGUUCAGUUGGUGGAACGUCUGCUUAACAUUUCUGUCCGCAGGAGGUCGUCAAUUCAAGUUCGGCCCAGAUC